AAGUAUAUUAAGAAGGUACUUCAGAAGUUCGGGAUGGAAAAUGCUAAAGUUGUGAGUUGUCCACUAGCAGCCCAUUUCAAGUUGAGCAGAAAGCAAUGUCCUACCACUGAUGAGCAGAAAAAGGAAAUGCAUCAUGUUCCUUAUGCUUCAGCCGUUGGGAGUUUGAUGUAUGCUAUGGUGUGUACAAGGCCUGACAUUGCUCAUGCGGUUAGUACUGUGAGCAGAUUUAUGUCCAAUCCAGGAAGACCUCAUUGGGAAGCCGUGAAGUGGAUUUUGAGAUAUCUUCGGGGCAGCACAAUCUGA
Molecule: ribosomal RNA, 303 nt
Filed under: Triticum aestivum (bread wheat)
Lineage: Eukaryota; Viridiplantae; Streptophyta; Magnoliopsida; Poales; Poaceae
Description: partial small subunit ribosomal RNA
Source: RNAcentral